UACGUAGGGUGCGAGCGUUAAUCGGAAUUACUGGGCGUAAAGCGUGCGCAGGCGGUUUGGUAAGACAGGUGUGAAAUCCCCGGGCUUAACCUGGGAAUGGCAUUUGUGACUGCCCGGCUAGAGUGUGUCAGAGGGGGGUAGAAUUCCACGUGUAGCAGUGAAAUGCGUAGAUAUGUGGAGGAAUACCGAUGGCGAAGGCAGCCCCCUGGGAUAACACUGACGCUCAUGCACGAAAGCGUGGGGAGCAAACAGG
This 253-nucleotide ribosomal RNA is filed under the name uncultured bacterium. RNAcentral's name for it is "partial 16S ribosomal RNA". It matches the Rfam family "Bacterial small subunit ribosomal RNA", at positions 524 to 776 of the family's 1533-position model. The record is from RNAcentral.